Long non-coding RNA from Rosa rugosa (rugosa rose), 3294 nucleotides. RefSeq lists it as uncharacterized. NCBI's taxonomy places the organism in Eukaryota, Viridiplantae, Streptophyta, Magnoliopsida, Rosales, Rosaceae. The transcript is spliced from 18 exons. The record is from RefSeq and is a predicted model, not a curated record.
UUUUGCCUCCUUUAGGGAAACUGACGUCCCUUGAAUCAUUGCAUAUUCGGAGACUCGGUAGAGUCUCAAAGGUAGGAGUUGAGUUUUUGGGAAUAGAUGAUGGGCAAACCUCGUCGUCUUCCAUUUUCAUAUCAUUCCCCAAGCUUAAACAACUCACCUUCGAGUCCAUGUCCUCAUGGGAAGAGUGGGUAGGAGCAGAAAAUAAUAUUACAAUCAUGCCAUGCCUCUCUCAGUUGACAUUCAUGUACUGCUGGAAGCUAAAAGCACUGCCGGACUUCCUGUGGAAGACACCACUACAGAAAUUGCACAUCUCCAAUUCUCUAAUUCUCCACGACCUUUACAGACAAGGAAUUGGUGAGGAGUGGGCCAAGAUUUCUCACAUCCCAACCAUCGUGAUAGAAGACUACUAAUCUGGAUGAUGCAUCUCAAAGUCCAGGCUUCAGCUUCUCUUGAAACAAGCACAUUUCUCUAUCAUUCGUCAUAUAUAUUUCAACCUGGGAUGCAUGUCCAAUGCAAGUCAAUAUUGGAGGGGACAAGGAAACAUCAAUUGAGCAUCAAGCAUUAUCUUCCCCUAGCCUUCAGAUACAUCAGUGAUUAGUUGAACAUGAGCUAGCAGAGUUAUAGCAUAGACCAAACCUAGGAGGGUACUAAAGAGGUCAAACACUUGAGGUGGUCAUACAUUUGCUACCUCAGAUGCUCAACUUUCUAUCAAUUUUACCCGUAUUUACUUAUUCACCUUGAUACAGAUGAUGAUUCAUGGCCACGUGAAUAGCUAAAGGGAUUGUUGGACUUCCAAUUCCAAUACUAGAUGAUCUUCACCACUAAGAUGUGAACCGCACCAGGCUACUUGUACUGCUCGUAUUGAAGCUUCAUGCAUUCAAUGUGGCAUCUGAAUUUGGGAAGCUGCAUACGUACAAACUUGUAGAUUAUAUUACAACUUGAAGUUCUUGGUUUUCAAGUUGGACUAUUAGCAAGUCACGUAAAAGCUUUUGAUUAAUUACAUGGACCGAGGAUGGUCUUAGUCAAGACUAUCUCUUCCAUUGUCUGGACUUUAUUAGACUUACUGGGAAGCUAUGCAAAGUUGUGACAAUGAGCUGUCAUUGGAGAAGUUCAACUUGGGAUUGUUCCUUUGGUCUAAGUAGGUUAUGCUAGCUUGUGUAUCCUUCUGCUAUAUCGUCAUUGUUUAUAUAGGUGAUCAUGACUGUCAGGAGCUUAAGAGGUCACAAACAGCACCAGUUAGAGACAUGUUCUUAAAGCAUUGAAAGAAGGCAUGAGGGAACUGAAGGCUGCCGGUUCGAAGACCUUCCUGUUUGGUUAUGAUACUCUUCUUCCUCUGAUGCUGGAAAUUGAGUCCUUAUCAAGUACAUUUCAGAAAGAUUGCAAGCACCCUUCUGUGUAUGGAAUUGGGAGGUUAGGCUUCAAAGUUCUGUUGGUUAGACUCCUGAAGAUGAGAUGACCCUCAGAAGAAAAUCGCACCAACAUACAUGUACAGCUCACACUGAGGCUUCAUUUAGAAUGGCCUUGGAGUUGCAAAGAUGAUGGGAUGCUAAUAUGAUAAGCUCUCUAUGUCAUAACUCAUUACCUGAAGUUCUGAGUUCAUGUGUGUUUGUGGCACAUAUAUGGCUCUGUAAGACUGUGACUGUGAGACUGAGUUAAGGAUCACAGAUUGCUUUAAUUUUUUGGUUAUUUGGGUGUACCUAGGUUGGACUGUUGGAGCAAUGCAUCUGAGGCAGCAAUCAGACCUACAUUUGACAAGCUGUGGGGUGGCCAUGACAGAUCAAAGAAGGAGGAUUGGGCAAGUACUCAUGCAUCCAAUAUUUGAUUGGGAGCCCAACCCAGGUCUCAGUUCCCUAUUCCUUUUUGCUGAUACGAAUUUGCCUGUAUGCUGAUCUCUACUUGUGCUGAGAGGAUAAUCAAGGUGCAGUCCAACCACCAUUCCUUUCAGGAGAAUGUCAAGCAACAAUAUUACAACAUGCAACUACAAACUUACUUUGUGUCACUCAUUCGACUGACGGAUGAGGCUAUCUUACCUAAACUACGUAAUUUUUCAUAACCAUCUUUGAUUGCUUUUCACCUUUUGGUUAAUUCGAUGUAUUAAGGAUGGUGCCUACUGCCUAGCCAAGCAGCUGAAGCAUCUCUUUGAGUGUCUCGACUUUAUUAGGAAGCUAUGCAUGGUUUUGAGGAGUGAGGUGUGACUAUGAGCCAUCAUAGAAGAUUGUUCAACUUGGGAUUGUUUCUUUUGUCUACCUAGAAGAAAAUCGUACCAAGAUACAUGUAGAGCUAAUAUAUACCGAUGCUGGAAGCAUUUAGAAUCGCCUUGGAGUUGAAAGCCUGAUCGAAUUGUACUUUGGUGGAGGAUGGGAAUAAUGAUCUGCCAAUAUCUGAUUGUAAUCCCAACUCGACCAACUUCCAAACAGGUCUCACUUCCCCAUUAAUGUGACAGAGUGAUGGACUAACAUCGAAUCACCGACUUCUUUGAACCUGCCUUAAAGAUUCUCUACUUAUGCAGAGAGGAUAAGCACUACAUCUUCCUUCAUCAACAGAAUCUUCCUUGUAGUUUGUCUGCCAAACAAAGACAGCACGAGCUGAAAUGAGUGAAGAACUGUUGACUAGCUUGUUGUCAGAGACGGAUACAUUAACUGCCACAGAACCAGUGACUGUUCCAGGAAUGAAGCUACUAGCUAGGCAGCUCAUGGCUUCCUAACAUACUGAACUGAACUCCCUAUCAGCUUUAAUUAAUUCUGCGGCUUGAUUUCUUAAACAUACAGGAAAUGAUGAUUCUCGGUCAUGUAUACAGCUGAAAGGAUUCUGGACUUUUCAAAGACAAGAUGAUCCUCCGCCCCUCAGGUUAAAGAAUUCCUCUAUUUACAUAAUUCAGCAUAUAUUGUAGAUGCUACUACAUUGAAGCUUGAAGCAUCAAGAAUGGCAUCAGAGUUUUCAAGCUGAUGGGAUGCUAAUUCGAUACUGAGCUUGGAGUAGCUUAGUCAAGCAGCUGAGCAUCUCCUCUAAUUAUGUAUCAAUUGUACAUGAGAAUCGCACCAGGCUACCUGUACUGCUCAUAUUGAAGCUUGAUGCAUUCAGAAUGGCCUCAGACUAUCAGAGUGCGAAAAUCUUUUGGUUAAUCACAUGGGCCGAGGAUGGAGCUGAGUCAAGAGCAUCUCUUCCAAGCGUCUGGACCUUAUUGGGAAGGUAUGCAAGAGGAUGGUGCAAAUGAUCAUGAAUCCAAUACUUGAUCCGAAGUUCAACUGAUAUUCAUGUUGAUACUCUGAUAUCAUGUUUUCAAAUAUUGCAAAA